AUCAUCACAGGUUGGUAGGUUUAUUGAACCGGCAUAUAUCUGCAAUCUGUCAUUCUAUGUGAAUUUUUAAAAAUUCUAUUAUUGCAUAAAAGAUUUUUUUCCAUUAAGAGUUGGGAAAAAUGGUAUUUGUGUUUACUUUUUACACUUGACACUUUGUAUAUGUGAUUAGAUCCAUUUGUUUGUUUGGGUCUGUCACAUAUUAGGGGAGAAGAAACACUGCGUAUGGCAAAACACAAGAAUAAAACCACAAAAAUUAAUACGAUUUCAGGACACACGAAGCAAAAACCUAUUUUUUCUAAACCGAGCAAAUGUCAAGUGAUUGUCUCUAAACAACUACAGGAAUCAGGCUUCAGCAUUUCCUCUAGCUUUUCUUCCAUAGGUGAAAGCUAGUUGCCAUUAAAAGCAAUGUCAUGAACACAAGAUAUCAGUUGUACUAUGGGUUGCUUGUCCUUUGCUUGAAAAUGUUAGUCCUUCAGAAUAAACCAAAAUUAACAGGUAGAUGUCACAUUACUCAAAGCCAGGAAUAUUAACAAAGAAAUCCAGUCUAUUCUUUUCCUUUUUUAAACAAAGAUUACAAAAUUGAAUUUUAUUGAGUUUCACACAAGAUGCACUUAUAAAAUUGGUACAGAAUGUCAUUUAACAGAAGAAAAGAAAAUAAAUUCCAAGCUUCCUUUAGCAACUGCUAAAUAACUGAAAAAAUUGUUACACCAAAUUCACAGAUAAUCUGAAUUUAAGUUUAAUGUUUAAAUUGCUCAAUGAAUAUAAAAUACAUCCAAAAUAAAAGAAUUUUAUAGUUUAUUCCCCCAUACAAUCUUCCCCUAAUAGUCUCCAGUGAUUUUGGCCAUUACUUCAGGUGCUCUUGGUGGGAGCAAAAGAUGGAGAGUGCAGCAACAAGCUCCUUUUAAAGCAGAGAAAGUUGCCCUGUAUGAUAAAACCCACCUUGCACUGCAACUUCUGCUCAGCCUCAUAACAUUCCUGUACAUUCAUCUCCACACUGUCAUAGUAAUACAGGUUUUAGGAAGUAGCACAUAUUCUGAACUUCCACGUCCUUUUCAUAAGCCAGCCUUUAAACUCUGGCUUUUCCACUCUGUGACAACUCUAAAUUAGACCACUUCUGUCAUUUGUUCAGUACUGAAAUAUUUGCAUCGUUUCCAAAAA
This is a long non-coding RNA of Gavialis gangeticus (Gharial), 1158 nucleotides long. RefSeq lists it as uncharacterized. The record is from RefSeq and is a predicted model, not a curated record. The transcript is spliced from 2 exons. NCBI's taxonomy places the organism in Eukaryota, Metazoa, Chordata, Crocodylia, Gavialidae.